RNAcentral lists this ribosomal RNA (445 nucleotides) under uncultured Clostridium sp. Its description in RNAcentral is "bacterial SSU rRNA". It matches the Rfam family "Bacterial small subunit ribosomal RNA", at positions 28 to 488 of the family's 1533-position model. The record is from RNAcentral. Lineage: Bacteria; Bacillati; Bacillota; Clostridia; Eubacteriales; Clostridiaceae.
GAUGAACGCUGGCGGCGUGCUUAACACAUGCAAGUCGAGCGAUGAAGUUUCCUUCGGGAAACGGAUUAGCGGCGGACGGGUGAGUAACACGUGGGUAACCUGCCUCAUAGAGUGGAAUAGCCUUCCGAAAGGAAGAUUAAUACCGCAUAAUGUUGAAAGAUGGCAUCAUCAUUCAACCAAAGGAGCAAUCCGCUAUGAGAUGGACCCGCGGCGCAUUAGCUAGUUGGUGGGGUAACGGCCUACCAAGGCGACGAUGCGUAGCCGACCUGAGAGGGUGAUCGGCCACAUUGGGACUGAGACACGGCCCAGACUCCUACGGGAGGCAGCAGUGGGGAAUAUUGCACAAUGAGGGCAACCCUGAUGCAGCAACGCCGCGUGAGUGAUGAAGGUUUUCGGAUCGUAAAGCUCUGUCUUUGGGGAAGAUAAUGACGGUACCCAAGGAGGA